UUUAGAAUAUGUAUGACCCAUAUGCAUUCAGAGUUUAGAAUAGACAGUUAACUCUGGAUACAUCUAGCAUCACGUACAUACUAGCAGAAUUUAUUAGGUUGGUUGCCGAUAAAACUAAUAGAGUCAGAUUGUUGCACAAGCAAAUCAAACGGUCUUUAUUAUAGAUCAUCUUCUAAGAUAGAGAGAAAUUUCAAGUAAUAAAAAGGUUGUAUAAGAGUUUCAAAAUUAUAGAAAAUAAUUAUCAAGAAAGAAUUGAGAAAUUAGCUUUUCAUGUGAUGUGAAACACCUGCUGGAAGUUGUUAACCUCUCUAUUCAAGUGUUGCCAAAGCUAUCCAGUGUACUACAUGUUGUGAGAGAUAUGUACAGGUAGUGUUGAUGGACACACCAAGGCCAACCGGUGAUCGGGUACCUUUGGGAGACCUUACAAAUACAACGCAUGAAGGGAAUCAUACCCGACUCGAGUUGGUGCGACUAGAUGGGGAUGCUAAUGGGCAGAAGAGGCUGAGGGAGAGAGAACUAUAUGCAACAACGUCUGAUGAAAAUAGUAGUGGAAAAAAUAAGAGACUCCGUGAGUGGGGUACAACAGAUAAAAUGAGUGAAAAUAGUGACCGGCUCCAUGUGCACUCAGCCUAUAAUAAUGGUGCUGAGCAACUAUCAGAUGGGAAUACAAUAAAUGAAAGCGAUGAAAAUAGUGACUGGCUCCAUAGGCAGUCAUCCUAUUGUAACAGCUUGCAACAAUUAUCAGGUGACUAAUUUUCCAAAUAAAAGUAUUACUUGGUGCGAUGACUAUAACUUACAUAAUUUGGUUAUGGAAUGCUUUAAUUUGUAUUGUAUGGUUAUAUUUGUAGACGGUUCGGUACCUUUAAGCACGAUUGAUGGCAUUGGUGACGUGCAUAACAUUGACACUGAGGAAGGUCUCGGCAACCGGCUUGUCACGUGUUCAAAAGAGCAUAAGCGUGAUUAUGACAGAGCACGAAAUGCCGCAAUGUCUCCUGAACAAAGGGCGCUAUUGAAUAAAAGACGACGUGAAUUGUAUGCAACCAAAAAAGCACCAAAAAAGUCUACAAGGAUGCUACAAAUGACUCCAAAUGAGACUGCCCAGUCAACAAGUAUGGUAAUCAAAUUGAUUUUCU
Sorghum bicolor (sorghum) is the source of this 1133-nucleotide long non-coding RNA. RefSeq lists it as uncharacterized. Lineage: Eukaryota; Viridiplantae; Streptophyta; Magnoliopsida; Poales; Poaceae. The record is from RefSeq and is a predicted model, not a curated record. The transcript is spliced from 4 exons.